AUAAUGAUGAACUUCACAAUAUGGUGAAUGUGCUCGAUGGUUAUCGUGAUGCUCCUUUCCAAUAAAUAUAGAGGAUCUUAUUCUAGUGACAUGAUGAUUGAUGCUUGACUGCCAUUUGACAAAGACAAAUAUUCUCGCUCAAUAUCCAUAUUAAUCUCAUCAUGUAGACUAGCCUACCGGCACAGCCUAACAGACUACCGGUACUGUAUCUGCCAGCUGUUGGCUAGAGCGCACAUUCCAAGACCAGACUGGCAGCAGAGAGAGGCCACCUUGGGCAUAAGAGGUGAGGCCUACGCUUAACAUCACACCUCCAGCUAACCCCACCCCCAAUCUCCAGCUUCAGCCAGACAUUCUCAAAUUGAAUUAAGGUCCUGUUCUGUGCUGCACCCCCACGGACCCCUUCGAGAGCCCUCCUGAACCCCCUUGGCCCGGUCCUGUUCCCCUCAUCCAGCCGCCUCGGACUAAUUAAAACCGAUGUGGCCUUGUCUUCGCUGGAUUACCCCUAACGAGGAUUCACUGACUCCACCAGCAUGUGCCUCUUGAUGAGAGAGAGAGAGAGAGAGAGAGAGACAGAGACAGAGACAGACAGAAAAAGAAAUGGGAGGAUUUGUCCAGGGAACCUUAGCCUUGAAAUCCAACACUUAAUUCACUACAGAUGAUACAGAAAAGGUGGAAGAGAGAGAGAGAGAGAAAGAGACAAAUAUACUUAUGUUGAUAGUUUAAAUCACUAGUGUGUGUAUUGUUUUAAAAACUGUUAGUGAAACAAUUGAAACGUGGCCUUAUUGUGAAGAGAGUCAUAAAAUGGACCUCUGGACAGCCC
Long non-coding RNA from Oncorhynchus tshawytscha (Chinook salmon), 820 nucleotides. NCBI's taxonomy places the organism in Eukaryota, Metazoa, Chordata, Actinopteri, Salmoniformes, Salmonidae. The record is from Ensembl.